This 392-nucleotide ribosomal RNA is filed under the name uncultured actinomycete. RNAcentral's name for it is "bacterial SSU rRNA". It matches the Rfam family "Bacterial small subunit ribosomal RNA", at positions 359 to 764 of the family's 1533-position model. The record is from RNAcentral. Lineage: Bacteria; Bacillati; Actinomycetota; Actinomycetes; Actinomycetales.
GAAUAUGCACAAUGGGCGAAAGCCUGAUGCAGCGACGCCGCGUGAGGGAUGACGGCCUUCGGGUUGUAAACCUCUUUCAGUAGGGAAGAAGCGAAAGUGACGGUACCUGCAGAAGAAGCGCCGGCUAACUACGUGCCAGCAGCCGCGGUAAUACGUAUGGCGCAAGCGUUAUCCGGAAUUAUUGGGCGUAAAGAGCUCGUAUGCGGUUUGUCGCGUCUGCCGUGAAAGUCCGGGGCUCAACUCCGGAUCUGCGGUGGGUACGGGCAGACUAGAGUGAUGUAUGGGAGACUGGAAUUCCUGGUGUAGCGGUGAAAUGCGCAGAUAUCAGGAGGAACACCGAUGGCGAAGGCAGGUCUCUGGGCAUUAACUGACGCUGAGGAGCGAAAGCAUGG